CCCUUAGAUGUUCUGGGCCGCACGCGCGCUACACUGACGAAGUCAGCGAGCAUGUCCUACGCCGACAGGUGCGGGGAAUCUUGUCAAACUUCGUCGUGAUGGGGAUUGAUUAUUGAAAUUCUUGAUCAUCAACGAGGAAUUCCUAGUAAGCGCAAGUCAGCAGCUUGCGUUGAUUACGUCCCUGCCCUUUGCACACACCGCCCGUCGCUACUACCGAUUGAAUGGUUUAGUGAGAUCUUCGGAUUGGCGCCACUGCGGCUCAGCAAUGGGCUCGGUGGAUGCCGAAAAGUUGAUCAAACUUGAUCAUUUAGAGGAAGUAAAAGUCGUAACA
Molecule: ribosomal RNA, 331 nt
Filed under: uncultured eukaryote
Lineage: Eukaryota
Description: partial 18S ribosomal RNA
Rfam family: Eukaryotic small subunit ribosomal RNA
Source: RNAcentral